Oxyura jamaicensis (ruddy duck) is the source of this 1069-nucleotide long non-coding RNA. RefSeq lists it as uncharacterized. The transcript is spliced from 3 exons. The record is from RefSeq and is a predicted model, not a curated record. Lineage: Eukaryota; Metazoa; Chordata; Aves; Anseriformes; Anatidae.
UUAUUUUUAACUUGGAAUUGGCGGCUGAAUACAGUACCAAUCAGAAACAGAUGAGAUUGCCCCCAAGCUAUUAAACAUGUAUGUGUUUUUAUGUCUUUUAUUUUUCUGUGAGUUUUUCAGUGUUGGAUAUUUUGAGUGGGUUUGAAAAACAUGAAGCGAUGCUGGCCCCAUCCCCGCAGGGCAGAGAAGAACUUGAAUUUCAUGUUUUCAUGACAGUGGGAGUAGCAAGUCCCUUCCCUCCAGAGUCAGCUUUGUGGGUGGACUGCUGUAAUAUGCUGGUAGGAUAUCCAAAUUACUCCCCUUGUAUUGUGCGCUUUGUCACUUGUAAAACCACGUUGCAUUCUUACUGUGAGAUGAAUUCAGAAUAGAGCAGAGAGGAAGAGAAUCUUUGGCUCUUAAUUUAUGUACAUAAGUUAAAUGAAAGUGCUCAGGACCAGCUGUUUUGCUAAUUUAGCUAGCCAGCUGCCUCUUGUUGUCUGUAUCAGCCUGGUACUCGCCCAAAGAGCUGGUGCCCAUGCACCCGUGGGCUGAUGCUGUUGUAUACCAGCAGCCGUCACCUCAUCUGUAGGGAUGGCUGCUGCUUCUGUUCUGUAACGCAUAACCCUGGUGAUACUACCCAACCAUCAAAUCAAGCUGAACGUGUAAGUCUGGACUGGUCUGUUGGAACUGUGCAGUGUGGGAAUGUAACUGAACAAAGUGGUCGCGGUGUUUGCUGGUUUGGCUCUGGCCCGGCUCUCAUUGUCCUUCAGCUGAGGGAGCUGAGGCCCUUCGGAAGCCGUAGCAGGGUGCUGUACCAGUUGGACUAAAGCUUCAGGAAGGACAGCAGAACCCGUGAGCACUUCUGCAACCAGCACGUUGGCAGCUGUCUGUCUGCACCUCGAUUUCAUGCUUCCUCUGGAACAGUGACAGGUUUCUACACGAGGAGGCUUCAAGGUCACCUUCACACGUUAAUUCAUUUUACUGGCAGCGGUCGGGCUGCAUGCUGCGCCCGCUGUUAUCUGCCCUCUGUGCCGGAUCCAUGAGGGCAGAAUGGCUUCGGGUGGGUGGGAGGCUGGGGAACCUCGCUGCG